This 324-nucleotide ribosomal RNA is filed under the name uncultured bacterium. RNAcentral describes it as "bacterial SSU rRNA". It matches the Rfam family "Bacterial small subunit ribosomal RNA", at positions 28 to 334 of the family's 1533-position model. The record is from RNAcentral.
GAUGAACGCUGGCGGCGUGCUUAACACAUGCAAGUCGAACGGAACUGUUUGAAUGAAGUUUUCGGAUGGAUUUUAAACAGUUUAGUGGCGGACGGGUGAGUAACGCGUGGGUAACCUGCCUCACACUGGGGGAUAACAGUUAGAAAUAGCUGCUAAUACCGCAUAAGCGCACAGCUCCGCAUGGAGCAGUGUGAAAAACUCCGGUAGGUGUGAGAUGGACCCGCGUCUGAUUAGGUAGUUGGUGAGGUAACGGCCCACCAAGCCAACGAUCAGUAGCCGACCUGAGAGGGUGACCGGCCACAUUGGGACUGAGACACGGCCCAG